Glycine soja is the source of this 1656-nucleotide long non-coding RNA. RefSeq lists it as uncharacterized. The transcript is spliced from 2 exons. The record is from RefSeq and is a predicted model, not a curated record. NCBI's taxonomy places the organism in Eukaryota, Viridiplantae, Streptophyta, Magnoliopsida, Fabales, Fabaceae.
UCUCUCUCUCUCUCUCAUUUCUUCUCCUCUUCACUGUGGCCAGCAACAACCAGAAGGCCCCUUCCAUUUCUCAUCUUCUCCCUACCAAGAAACAUCACCAUUUCACUUUUAAAAAAAAAUUAACUAAAGCCUUUUGUCUUCAACCUCCAUCAUCCACCACUCAAAGCAACCAUUCAAAGGAAACUUUUGAGCAAACAAGAUCUCCAUGUCCUCUUUCUCUCUUCCACUGGUUAUGUAGUGUACGUCAUGCCUUUCUUUGUUGGAUUUGGAGACUUGGUGGUGCUGAAAAACUACAAGAGACAAGAGAAUGGCGGUGGUGUUGAUCGUUUGCUCCAUAUCGCUUGUCUCUUUUCAUUUGUUUUCAGAUCUGGCAUUCUCUCUUUUUUGUUCUUCAAUUUUUGUUUCUUUAAAAACUAAAAUUGCGCAGAUUUGAUUUUGAAUAAAUAUUGAAACUUUGUAAAAAUUUGAGUGACGUUCUUUAAUUGGGUUGAUCAUGUUAAAUGAUAUGCAUUGUUAUGUUAAUUUUACUUUCAGCAGUGGUUGAUGUAUUAAUUGUAGAAACAUAUAUACCCAUUGGAAUCUGAAAUGCAUUGUAGAAAACCCCAUGUUAGAAUACUAGUAUGAAAAUCUCACCACAUGUUAAACACCAGGUAAGUAAGCGUGAGAGAAAGUGUCCAACUUUUUUUUUAAUGUUUCUAGGCUUUCUAUUGCUUUUGUCUAACUAUGGUUUAGGUUUCGAUUUUAAUGAAGAUGAUGUUUUAAAGCUUUUGUAAUUCACUGCCCAGCAGAAGCAAGUUGUACAAAGAGGUGGUGGUGAUAGCCUGAUAGGCGGCCAGUUGACGAAUUCCAAGAGCUAUAAAAGUUCAUCUUUGUUAAAAUCAGAAACUAAACCAUAAUCAGAUAAUAGUAAUAGAAAGCCCAUAAACAUUCAAAAAGUUUAGUACUUUUCUCUUACAUUUGCUUUCAAAUUAAGUGCUGGCUUAAAUGCCGCUUCUCUUCCAUCGGUUUAACCGUGGUGAGAUUUUCAUAUAAGUGUUCUAUCAUGGAUUUUUCUACUAUCCAUUUUAGAUUCUAAGGGAUAUGUUCCUACAAUUACGUCAACCACUACAGAGAGAAGCAAUAACAUAACAACGAUGCAAAUCAUUUAGAAGAAUUUCCCAAUUUAAAGAAAACCAUUCAAAUUAGUACAAGCUUCAAUCUUUAUAAAAAAAAAAAAUCAAAUUUGUACAAUUUCAGUUUAAAAAAUGAAAAUGAAAGAAAAAAAAAAAGAGAGAAUCUAAGAUGUGAAAAAAAAAAUGGAAAGGGACAAGUAAUGGAGCAAACACACUACCAUUACCCUCUCUUUUUUCCAGUUUUCCAGCACCACAAGUCUCCAACUCCAACAAAAAUAAAAGGCAUAACGUACACCAAGAGAGAAGAAAUAGAGUGGGGAAAUAACAAAAAAAAGGGAAAAAAUGACGUUUGCACCGCCGUCCAUACCACUACUCUCAGAGUUUAGUUCGUAGACAAGUCAAAUCUAGUUGCUCAUUCUCUAGCUCAGGCAUCUAGAUUUCCUGCUAACAUAUAUCUUUAAUAGUAUUCCGAGUUGUAUUCUAGUUAUUAUUAUUAAUGAAAUGAUAUGAGUAUCUUGCAUUAAAAAAAAAGGUGUUUUACUUA